RNAcentral lists this ribosomal RNA (253 nucleotides) under uncultured bacterium. Its description in RNAcentral is "partial 16S ribosomal RNA". It matches the Rfam family "Bacterial small subunit ribosomal RNA", at positions 524 to 776 of the family's 1533-position model. The record is from RNAcentral.
GACGUAGGGCGCAAGCGUUGUCCGGAUUUAUUGGGCGUAAAGAGCUCGUAGGCGGCUUGUCGCGUCGACUGUGAAAACCCGCAGCUUAACUGCGGGACUGCAGUCGAUACGGGCAGGCUAGAGUUCGGUAGGGGAGACUGGAAUUCCUGGUGUAGCGGUGAAAUGCGCAGAUAUCAGGAAGAACACCCGUGGCGAAGGCGGCUCUCUGGGACGGUACUGACGCUGAGACGCGAAAGCGUGGGGAGCGAACAGG